Molecule: ribosomal RNA, 301 nt
Filed under: uncultured bacterium
Lineage: Bacteria
Description: partial 16S ribosomal RNA
Rfam family: Bacterial small subunit ribosomal RNA
Source: RNAcentral
CAGUAGCCGCGGUAAUACGAAGGGUGCAAGCGUUACUCGGAAUUACUGGGCGUAAAGCGUGCGUGGGUGGUGGUUUAAGUCCGUUGUGAAAGCCCUGGGCUCAACCUGGGAAUUGCAGUGAUACUGGGUCACUAGAGUGUGGUAGAGGAUAGUGGAAUUUCCGGUGUAGCAGUGAAAUGCGUAGAGAUCGGAAGGAACAUCUGUGGCGAAGGCGACUAUCUGGGCCAACACUGACACUGAAGCACGAAAGCGUGGGGAGCAAACAGGAUUAGAUACCCCCGUAGUCCCUGUCUCUUAUACA